AUAUCAUCUCACACUACUUCACAAUGGGAAUUCGAUCUUCAUAGCAGAGGGGAAAAUGAAGGCCGCUCUUGCGUUGGUAAUUGUUCUGGGUGUUUUUGUGAAUGUUUACGCCCAGUUUGGUAACAAUGUGCAGUUCGCCCAGGUGCAGUUGUACGAGCCUAUAUAUGCAAAUCAAGGGAGUGGAUCUGGAAAUCUAUUUGGCGGAAAUAAUGGAUUUGCCGGGUCAACUCUGGGCAUCCUACCCAUCAUAAUUGCCGUCAUUUUGUUAUUAACCUUUUCACCCAUGGCGAUUGCUUCAUCCAGCAACAUGGAGGCUAGAUAAAGGAAUGGUGGAAAAGUGCUUCAUUUUUACCAACAUCUGCAAUAUACACAUGUAUGAUAAAUAAACACCAUUAAUUAAA
Molecule: long non-coding RNA, 401 nt
Organism: Saccostrea cuccullata (small rock oyster)
Lineage: Eukaryota; Metazoa; Mollusca; Bivalvia; Ostreida; Ostreidae
Exons: 4
Source: RefSeq, a predicted model, not a curated record